UACGUAGGGGGCAAGCGUUAUCCGGAUUUACUGGGUGUAAAGGGAGCGUAGACGGCUGUGCAAGCCAGAUGUGAAAGCCCGGGGCUCAACCCCGGGACUGCAUUUGGAACUGUGUAGCUGGAGUGUCGGAGAGGCAGGCGGAAUUCCUAGUGUAGCGGUGGAAUGCGUAGAUAUUAGGAGGAACACCAGUGGCGAAGGCGGCCUGCUGGACGAUGACUGACGUUGAGGCUCGAAAGCGUGGGGAGCAAACAGG
This 253-nucleotide ribosomal RNA is filed under the name uncultured bacterium. RNAcentral describes it as "partial 16S ribosomal RNA". It matches the Rfam family "Bacterial small subunit ribosomal RNA", at positions 524 to 776 of the family's 1533-position model. The record is from RNAcentral.